GCCUGCCUAGCUCAAUCGGAUAGAGCGUCAGACUUUCAUGGGCUAUGUAACAUUGAGUGAUCUGAAGGCUGCGAGUUUGACCCUCGUGGUGGGCU
Molecule: non-coding RNA, 95 nt
Organism: Marasmius tenuissimus
Lineage: Eukaryota; Fungi; Basidiomycota; Agaricomycetes; Agaricales; Marasmiaceae
Source: the annotation of a GenBank genome assembly